UAGGCUUAGAUGGAAAAAGAUGAAAAGCUGUGGCCACCCCUAAUCGGGACCAGCCGUAAGGAAAAGAAGAAGACGGAUUACUCAGAAACCGUUUUAAUAUCAAAUACAAUGACCAGUUUGCAUUUCACUUUGCUUAAAAAGUUUCUGUUUAUGGUUUAAGGUACAACAUUGUCAUUUUUGGAGGUCCUUAUGGAUACUCAAGAAAGAAUAUGCUUUCUGGAGAAGAACUAACAAGUGGCUCUCUCCUUCUCAUCACUUCUGCUUUCCCGGUGAGGGGUCCAAAAGGAGAGGUAGGAGAGGUCAGUUCAAAGCAGCAAAAAAUAUUCAACUUUGAGACGCUGGCCUCAAAACUUGAGGCCCGUAACAUCUACAUCUACAUCUACAUCAAAAGCUGUAACAAGACCAGA
Syngnathoides biaculeatus (alligator pipefish) is the source of this 407-nucleotide long non-coding RNA. RefSeq lists it as uncharacterized. The record is from RefSeq and is a predicted model, not a curated record. Lineage: Eukaryota; Metazoa; Chordata; Actinopteri; Syngnathiformes; Syngnathidae. The transcript is spliced from 3 exons.